This 1250-nucleotide long non-coding RNA is filed under the name Heterocephalus glaber (naked mole-rat). RNAcentral describes it as "lncRNA (ENSHGLG00000046510.1)". The record is from RNAcentral. Lineage: Eukaryota; Metazoa; Chordata; Mammalia; Rodentia; Bathyergidae.
UUGAAGAUUGGCAACUCUGUAUCUAGGUAUCUGGGAAGAUCCUGGCUUAUGGAAGACAGACAACGCCAUUUUCUAGCUGCCUUUGCUGACUCAGGAGCCUGAAGUUUCUGACCUUGGAUUGGUCAGGAUUGGCUUUUUUUUGAGACAGGGUCUCAUUAAGUAGUCCAAGCUAGCCUUGAAUUCACUAUGGAGCAAAGGUUGGCCUUGAACUUGUGAUCCUCCAACUUCAGCCCUGGUGUACUGGAAUUACAGGUAUAGAAUUCAACAAUAAACUUUGUUUGCAUUCAUGUAAUCAGGAAGAGAGGGUGUUGGUGAGCAAAGACUGUGGAACAGAAGAGAAAGGGAAGGGACCCUUCUGUUCAGAGCUCAGAUCAGGAGAAAAGGAGGUGGUGAGUGUCCAAGACCUGAGGAGAGCCAGAGAUGCUAAGCACCAAGGAGUUCAGCAUGAAGGAGCGACUAGAACAGAUCCCCUCUGAAGCAGCUGGGGGCUCAUCUGAGAAACUUCUCAUCCUUGAGGAGUGGUCAGCUAGGAGAGGAAGAAGGGAUGGUGUGGAGCCCACCCAUGGCCUAAGGAGCCAGUGUAGUCCACAGCCUGUGGGACCAGGAGCCUCCAGGUGGGCGACUCAAGAAGAAUCGAUGCUUCAGCCCCCAGCGACAUGUACACGGUGUAAUGACAGAUGGUGAUGCAUGUUCUCUGGAAACAGCUUGGCUGGGGCUCACCAGCUGGGUUAUGGAGUCAGCAGUCACUUACAGUUCUGGGGGCUGACUUCAGCCAGUUCCUGAAGCUCCCUGAGCCUUACUGAAAGUGGGACUAAUAAUUUCUAUCUUACUGGGUAACUAUGAAAAUGAAAAUAAAUAAUGAAUAAUUGCUCGGUGAAACUUGGUGUUGAGAAAUACUUCUUUUUAUUUUCCCUACAUCAAAUGAAAAUAAAUCUAAAGUCUUACUAAGUUUCCUAGCAGGCAUUUCUGUAGCUCUGUCUCCACCUUUCUAGUGCAUGAGAAACUUGGGGGUUUGGCAGGUGAGGAAAAAUGGGGAGAGUUGAGUGAGGCCUGCACCUAAGCCUACUGUGCUAGAGCUGCCCUUGGCCCUCCUGACGCAGCCACGUGUGGUUAUCUGGAGGAGGCAACCCCAGCAGCUGGCUUCAGUGCCUUGAUGCCAGCUCUGCCAUGGAAGAUGCUGGGCCCUGGCCAUCGUCUCAGGGGUGUCUACAUCCCCCAAGUGCAUUCCAGAGUGGUAAAAGUUGCAGGGC